CGGAGCUUGCUCCACCGAAAGAAAAAGAGUGGCGAACGGGUGAGUAACACGUGGGUAACCUGCCCAUCAGAAGGGGAUAACACUUGGAAACAGGUGCUAAUACCGUAUAACACUAUUUUCCGCAUGGAAGAAAGUUGAAAGGCGCUUUUGCGUCACUGAUGGAUGGACCCGCGGUGCAUUAGCUAGUUGGUGAGGUAACGGCUCACCAAGGCAACGAUGCAUAGCCGACCUGAGAGGGUGAUCGGCCACACUGGGACUGAGACACGGCCCAGACUCCUACGGGAGGCAGCAGUAGGGAAUCUUCGGCAAUGGACGAAAGUCUGACCGAGCAACGCCGCGUGAGUGAAGAAGGUUUUCGGAUCGUAAAACUCUGUUGUUAGAGAAGAACAAGGAUGAGAGUAGAACGUUCAUCCCUUGACGGUAUCUAACCAGAAAGCCACGGCUAACUACGUGCCAGCAGCCGCGGUAAUACGUAGGUGGCAAGCGUUGUCCGGAUUUAUUGGGCGUAAAGCGAGCGCAGGCGGUUUCUUAAGUCUGAUGUGAAAGCCCCCGGCUCAACCGGGGAGGGUCAUUGGAAACUGGGAGACUUGAGUGCAGAAGAGGAGAGUGGAAUUCCAUGUGUAGCGGUGAAAUGCGUAGAUAUAUGGAGGAACACCAGUGGCGAAGGCGGCUCUCUGGUCUGUAACUGACGCUGAGGCUCGAAAGCGUGGGGAGCGAACAGGAUUAGAUACCCUGGUAGUCCACGCCGUAAACGAUGAGUGCUAAGUGUUGGAGGGUUUCCGCCCUUCAGUGCUGCAGCAAACGCAUUAAGCACUCCSCCUGGGGAGUACGACCGCAAGGUUGAAACUCAAGGAAUUGAYCGGGGG
RNAcentral lists this ribosomal RNA (866 nucleotides) under Enterococcus casseliflavus. RNAcentral describes it as "bacterial SSU rRNA". It matches the Rfam family "Bacterial small subunit ribosomal RNA", at positions 74 to 920 of the family's 1533-position model. The record is from RNAcentral. Lineage: Bacteria; Bacillati; Bacillota; Bacilli; Lactobacillales; Enterococcaceae.